AUGAGAUCACCUCAUCAGCCUUGUGGGAGGGCGGCUGGACUUUCGUUUACCGCUGCAUCGCGGCUUGGAACUCAGAGCAAUCCUACAACAGCCAGUCUCAUUUGUAGGAAAGGUUUCAGGACCCUGCCCACAGCAGGACAGAGACUAGUCCCGCGGCUUAAGGGAAAAUCGCGCGCAGCGUUUCCCAGGCUCCCCGAAGUGGCCCCCAGAGGGAUCAGGAGACCCGGUUCUAUCCGGCAACUUGGUGUCCCUGUCCUGCAGCGACGUGUCCUGGAUGCCACAGCAGUGGCGCCCACGGCGCCUGCGAGCUGCCCUCGUGAAGGCCGAGGCCGCGGAGAGCGCGGGCCCCUGGGCGCGGCGGGCGGCGGGCGGCGGGCGGCGCACGCAGGUCCCGGGCAGGAGGGGAGCGCCGGGGCCGCGGCCAGAGCGGGCUCCCCCGCGGAGGGGGCCGGCCCGGCCCGAGGGUCCCGCUGCCGCCCGCCCGCCCGCCCGCCCGGCCGCCCCGGGCAGCUCCGCGCGCGGUGCCGGGCCCGUGCUUCGCCUUUCCCGGGCUCCGGGCGGCCGCGGCCAGAGGCCCGGGGAGCUGCGCGCACGCCGCCUGCUCUCCGCCCGCAGCGCGGGGCCCCGGGCCCGGGACGGCGCGGACGCCGGGGGCUGGGGGCGCGCAUCAGCCCCGGGGCCCGCACUGCCCGCGCCCUCCCGGCGGCCGGAUGCCCCCUGCUGCCUGCCGCGCUGCCCCCCGCCCCGGGCGCCCGGAACAGGCGGGACCAUCACGGGGACGCGGGCGCCGACCCAGGGGACCCUGGAGGCCACCCCUCCUGCAGCCCGAGCUCCCGCAGCCCAAAGGAUACGCCGGUCCUGGGCGGAGGUCUGGCCGAGGUGUCCCAGCACGACGCGCAGGCGGGCGGCUGCCUGGCGCUGGUUCAUGGCCGCGACAGGAGACGGCUCAGCAGGGUCUCGGGCGUCGGCCUCCGCCUAGGCCUCGGCCUCGUUCCGGGCGGCGGGCGGGGCGACGAGCGGACGUCGGUCUGGAGGAGGGCGUGGAGCGCCCGGAUUCUGCGUGGUGCGGAGAUGCCCCGGGCCUCCUGGGUCCACGCACUGGGCGCCCCGGGCGGAGAGGAUGGAUGCCCGCACACCCUGCUCCUCGAGAUCGCAGAGAUCCUUUCAAGGGCUUCUAACCCGGUGAAGGUCGUCCAGGGAGAAAUGAGCCAACACAUGACCCAUGCUCCCAACCGGGACUUUCAGUCUGUUUAA
This 1254-nucleotide long non-coding RNA is filed under the name Canis lupus dingo (dingo). RNAcentral's name for it is "lncRNA (ENSCAFG00020007628.1)". The record is from RNAcentral. Lineage: Eukaryota; Metazoa; Chordata; Mammalia; Carnivora; Canidae.